UACGUAGGUGGCAAGCGUUGUCCGGAUUUACUGGGCGUAAAGAGCGCGCAGGCGGUCGUUCAAGUCGAGUGUGAAAGCCCCCGGCUCAACUGGGGAGGGUCAUUCGAUACUGAUCGACUCGAAGGCAGGAGAGGGAAGUGGAAUUCCCGGUGUAGUGGUGAAAUGCGUAGAUAUCGGGAGGAACACCAGUGGCGAAGGCGACUUCCUGGCCUGUUCUUGACGCUGAGGCGCGAAAGCUAGGGGAGCAAACGGG
RNAcentral lists this ribosomal RNA (253 nucleotides) under uncultured bacterium. RNAcentral describes it as "partial 16S ribosomal RNA". It matches the Rfam family "Bacterial small subunit ribosomal RNA", at positions 524 to 776 of the family's 1533-position model. The record is from RNAcentral.